GUCCAAGUUAAAAAUAUAUGCUGCAUUUUAUGAGUUAAAUUUGCUUUUGACUAUUGUGUAUGCAGAAUGUGCCAUUUUUACAUGAAGGUCUAGAUCCUACAUCACUUGAUAUUAAUAUGAUACAGGAAUUCAAUUCAGGUCUAGGUCCUACAUCACUUGAUAUUAAUAUGACACAGGAAUUCAAUUCACAGGAUACCUUCAUUCCCAGUCAAAGAGAAAAUGAACGUGGUCCUUCACUUCUUCUUUUACCGCGAUGGGAAGACAUUUGAGUGCAUGUUAAAAACAUUUGAGUGCUUGGUUCUGUUUUGUUUAAGUUUUAGAGAUUCAGUCAUUUGUUUCUGGUGUA
Lotus japonicus is the source of this 346-nucleotide long non-coding RNA. RefSeq lists it as uncharacterized. The record is from RefSeq and is a predicted model, not a curated record. The transcript has 3 exons. NCBI's taxonomy places the organism in Eukaryota, Viridiplantae, Streptophyta, Magnoliopsida, Fabales, Fabaceae.